Molecule: ribosomal RNA, 253 nt
Filed under: uncultured bacterium
Lineage: Bacteria
Description: partial 16S ribosomal RNA
Rfam family: Bacterial small subunit ribosomal RNA
Source: RNAcentral
UACGUAGGUGGCAAGCGUUAUCCGGAUUUACUGGGUGUAAAGGGCGUGUAGGCGGGGACGCAAGUCAGAUGUGAAAACCACGGGCUCAACCUGUGGCCUGCAUUUGAAACUGUGUUUCUUGAGUACUGGGGAGGCAGACGGAAUUCCUAGUGUAGCGGUGAAAUGCGUAGAUAUUAGGAGGAACACCAGUGGCGAAGGCGGUCUGCUGGACAGCAACUGACGCUGAGGCGCGAAAGCGUGGGGAGCAAACAGG